This 21-nucleotide microRNA is filed under the name Oryza sativa (Asian cultivated rice). RNAcentral's name for it is "osa-miR166k-5p". Its record names the gene osa-miR166k-5p. Lineage: Eukaryota; Viridiplantae; Streptophyta; Magnoliopsida; Poales; Poaceae. RNAcentral also lists the same sequence under 1 other name. The record is from miRBase by way of RNAcentral.
GGUUUGUUGUCUGGCUCGAGG